Molecule: ribosomal RNA, 504 nt
Filed under: uncultured bacterium
Lineage: Bacteria
Description: partial 16S ribosomal RNA
Rfam family: Bacterial small subunit ribosomal RNA
Source: RNAcentral
GAUAAACGCUAGCGGCAGGCUUAACACAUGCAAGUCGAGGGGCAGCAUAGAUUGUAGCAAUACAAUUGGUGGCGACCGGCGCACGGGUGCGUAACGCGUAUGCAACCUACCCGUCACCGGGGGAUAAUCCGGAGAAAUCUGGUCUAAUACCCCAUAACAUAUCGAUCGGCAUCGGUUCAUGUUGAAAUUUCUGCAGGAUACGGAUGGGCAUGCGUAGCAUUAGCUUGUUGGUGAGGUAACGGCUCACCAAGGCGACGAUGCUUAGGGGGGCUGAGAGGUUUUCCCCCCACACUGGUACUUAGACACGGACCAGACUCCUACGGGAGGCAGCAGUGAGGAAUAUUGGUCAAUGGGCGCAAGCCUGAACCAGCCAUGCCGCGUGCAGGAUGACGGCUCUAUGAGUUGUAAACUGCUUUUGUACGAGGGUAAAGUGGGUUACGUGUAACCUUUUGAAAGUAUCGUACGAAUAAGGAUCGGCUAACUCCGUGCCAGCCGCCGCAGUAA